Molecule: ribosomal RNA, 573 nt
Filed under: uncultured bacterium
Lineage: Bacteria
Description: partial 16S ribosomal RNA
Rfam family: Bacterial small subunit ribosomal RNA
Source: RNAcentral
UGGGGAAUAUUGGACAAUGGGGGCAACCCUGAUCCAGCCAUGCCGCGUGAGUGAUGAAGGCCUUAGGGUUGUAAAGCUCUUUCACCCGGGACGAUAAUGACGGUACCGGGAGAAGAAGCCCCGGCUAACUUCGUGCCAGCAGCCGCGGUAAUACGAAGGGGGCUAGCGUUGUUCGGAAUCACUGGGCGUAAAGCGCACGUAGGCGGACCGUUAAGUCGGAGGUGAAAAUCCUGGGGCUCAACCCCAGAAACUGCCUUCGAUACUGGCGGUCUCGAGUCCGGAAGAGGUGAGUGGAACUGCCAGUGUAGAGGUGAAAUUCGUAGAUAUUGGCAAGAACACCAGUGGCGAAGGCGGCUCACUGGUCCGGUACUGACGCUGAGGUGCGAAAAGCGUGGGGAGCAAAACAGGAUUAGAUACCCUGGUAGUCCACGCCGUAAAACGAUGAAUGCCAGCCGUCGGGCAGCAUGCUGUUCGGUGGCGCAGCUAACGCUUUAAAGCAUUCCGCCUGGGGGAGUACGGCCGCAAAGAUUAAAAAACUCAAAAUGAAAUUGACGGGGGUCAUAGCUGUUUCCU